Molecule: unclassified non-coding RNA, 1018 nt
Filed under: Hevea brasiliensis (rubber tree)
Lineage: Eukaryota; Viridiplantae; Streptophyta; Magnoliopsida; Malpighiales; Euphorbiaceae
Source: RNAcentral
GAAAAUUCUUAAUGAACACAUAACAAGCAAAAACUUUCACCGGAAAAUUGUAGAGGAAUCGGAAAAAAUGGGUGAUGUAGCCGAUAAGAUAGCAUAUUUUCAAGCGAUCACCGGGGUGGAAGACACCGAUUUGUGCACUGAGAUCCUCGCCGCCCAUGGCUGGGAUCUCGAACUGGCGAUCUCUGUUUUUACCUCGCAAAAUCACCAUCCUGCUACUGAGUAUGCAUCCGAACCCACCACCUCCGAUACACCACCAACGAGCACGAAUCAACCACCGGCAGAAACUGGGCUCGUUGCCGGUGGCAGCGGCGGACCGCCGGGAUUAGCUUGGAAGAUUAUUACUCUCCCCUUCUCCAUCAUUUCUGGCAGUCUAGGAUUGAUUUCAGGUGCUGUGGGGUUGGGUGUAUGGGCGGCAGGUGGUGUACUUUCGUAUUCGUUGAGAAUGAUCGGUUUCAAUUUGGGGCGAAAUAGUGAAUCCUCUUCACCUUUGGUAUCUGUAACUGCAUCAGCAGCGGAGGCAAUGAGUUUCGUGGAUAGUUUUGAUAGGGAUUUUGGGAGUAUUAGGCCGAGUUUUAUUGCUGAAGGUUUUAUGGAUGCUUUGCAGAGGUCUAGGCAUGAGUUCAAGCUGUUUUUUGUGUAUUUACAUUCGCCUGAGCAUCCAGAUACCCCUGUGUUUUGUGAAAGGACUUUGUGUAAUGAAGCAUUGGUAGCAUUUAUCAAUGAGAAUUUUGUUGCUUGGGGCGGGAGUAUUAGAGCUAGUGAGGGUUUCAAGAUGAGUAAUAGCUUGAAGGCAUCAAGGUUUCCUUUUUGUGCUGUUGUAAUGGCUGCGACAAACCAAAGGAUUGCUCUGCUUCAGCAGGUUGAGGGGCCAAAAUCUCCUGAUGAACUGCUUACUGCACUUCAAAGGGUGCUCGAGGAAAGUGCACCUGUGCUUGUUUCUGCCAGGCUUGAAGCAGAAGAAAGGAGAAAUAAUAUUAGACUAAGAGAGGAGCAGGAUGCUGCUUAUCGUGCUGCACUA